Molecule: long non-coding RNA, 7220 nt
Filed under: Nicotiana benthamiana
Lineage: Eukaryota; Viridiplantae; Streptophyta; Magnoliopsida; Solanales; Solanaceae
Description: long non-coding RNA (NBEN_LNC032258)
Source: RNAcentral
UCGGUUGAAGGAAGGGAGGAUGAUUUAUGAUCAAUUGUGGGGAAAAUAACAGAUGCUACUGGUGCAUUCACAUGUCUCGAUGUACUCUAAUUAGUUUUGUCUCCAAUCACCAUUGAUGAAGCUUUUUCAGCUGAUUAAAUUGCAAACCCUAGCUUAGAGGUGUUAUUACUUUCAGACACUUCAGAUGCUUGACUGAAUUGCAGUAACACACAUACACACAUUUGAUCAAGGAAUUAGAUUGAGAUCUUCAUCACGAGCAGCUCUUAGCUGAAAGCUUGUCGUGGAGAGGAAGCUAAGAAGGAACUCAUAGAAAACAGAGUAACUGUUUAAUUGAAGAAGAGAAGAAAAUGAAUUGGUCUUACAAAGUAGUAUCUACAGUGUAUUUAUACUACUAAUUAGCUACUAAAUUCCUAACAACCUUUCUAACUAAUCCAACUAAUAAGAUUAGCUAACUAUAUUCUUAAACAUCUAAGCUAACUAUAUCGACAAGAGGGGCUUGCUCUGAUGGUAAGUAACCCCCACUUCCAACCGAGAGGUUGUGAGUUCGAGUCUCCACAAGAGCAAAGGUGGGAAGUUCUUGGAGGGAAGGAUGUCGGGGGUCUAUUUGGAAACAGCCUCUCCACCUCAUGGUAGGGGUAAGGUCUGCGUACAUACUACCCUCCCCAUACCCCAAUAAGUGAGAUUAUACUGGGUUGUACGAUUGUACGAUUUCUGUCGGGGGUCUAUUUGGAAACAUGCUCUCUACCCCAGGGUAGGGGUAUAAAUACUACCCUCCCCAAACCCCACUAAGUGGGAUUAUACUGGGUUGUACUUUUUAUCUAAGCUAACUAUAGUUUAAUAGAUCCACUUCUCUUAACAAUUGCAAAGAGUCUGAAACAAUGACUUCUCUGUGAAGAAUACUUUCACUAAGUUAAAUCCCAAACGGGCAGUAAAUGAAAAAAGUGGAAGUUCUGUUCUUCUGUGGAUGAUAGGCUCAUCGUUGUAGAUCCUCUAAUUAAAUAUACUAUACUAGCUUCUCCAAACAAAUUGGAAGUUAAUGACGUGUGCCUAUCACUGUACUACAUUUUAUGAUUUCACUAGUAUAACAGAGAAACCAUACAUAGCACUAGUUUCAGUUCUAAUUUCCUUUUCCAUAUCGAUGACUGGGGGUUUAAUAUUAGGAUUGUAGGAUAGGGGCUCCUAGAAUUUUAUACUUUUUUCUCGAGGUUGGGUGGGGCUUGACAGGACUUUCCAUAGAUGAUUUGUACAUCGGAUUGUGUCCCCCUUAUGGUAAUUAUUUAUGGUAGUUAAUGUUUGAUAUUAUUGCAUGCCAUAUUAUUAUGGCUCUUAUGCUUAGAUAAUUAUUUACGCUUCCUUCCCUGAGCCGAGGGUCGAUUGGAAACAGUCUAUCUUCCCUUUCGGGCAGGGGUAAGGCCUGUCUACAUAUUACCCUCCCAUACCCUACCUUGUGGGACUAUACUGAGUAGUUCUUGUUGUUGUUAUUUCCAUAUUGAUGACUAUAUCGCGUAAGGUUGUUGGUCAACUAAUUAUUUCAAUUUUAAAGACUUAACAUAUUGUCACCAGAUAAGCUUGAGGAAUAUAAUAGAGGUAAAUUCCAGCACUUCAAGGUAUAAUACAACUUAAAUCAACGGAACUUCACGGUAUCAUCCAAAUGAUCUCAUGACAUACCAAGACAAAUAUACGAUUAUGCAAUGUAAGCUUUCUAACAUUAUCUUUAUUAGCAUUGUUAUUGAAAAAAAAAAUAGUUUCCUAAAAUAUUUCGAGAUCGCAUAAAAAUAAACAUUUCCUUUUGAUUAAUCUAGUCAUUGUAAAUGAAACAUUUCAUUGACAUAUCAUAUACAAGCAAGCUAAUAAGUAAUAACCAUUGAUGAUUGUGCAAAAGAAUGGCAAAGUGGCAAUUAAGAAUGCAGUUAUCGAAAAUAUGUGACAAGUCCCAUUCGGUAUUACUUAUUAGCAUAGAUAGGCAUUAGUUUUCUUUGCACUUCCUUUAUAGUUAUUUUUUAUUUGUUUUGAUGAAUACACUUUUUCUCUAUAUGUUUUUAUUAAAUCAAAAUUUGAAGCAACAAAGAGAAAUAAACACAAGUCAUUAAAAAACCUCCUUCAAGGAAGGUGAGAAGAUGCUAAUAUUCAAUAAUUGCCUUGAGACUUCAUAAAAUUGUAAAAAGUCAAAAAUGUUUGAUCAAAGUAGUCUACACCGACACAUGUAGUUUCAUGGCAACAAGCACAAUAUAUCCGAAGUCAAUAUUUGAUCAAACAUUUGUCUAUACAUAAUGAAAAUCAGAAAAUGUGAUGAUAAUUUAAUGAGAUUUCUUAUAGUGUAUAAGCGCGAAAAUUUGACAUUUCUCUGUCAUCAAGGGAAAAGAAUCUCCCCUCUAUUUAAGGAGAAAAAGAUUGAGAAUGAAACAAAUAUAAAUCCAAAUACGUGUUGAUAAGAAAUUGGAAUGGCAAGACAUAACUUUUUUUUUAAUUCGACAUGUGCGAAUCUACUUUCUUCUUUUAUAAACAAAAAAACAAUUCGACAAACACCUAUAUUUUUACGAAAUCAACAGUUGAGUUUAAUUUGAAAAAAUCUAAAUAAACGCCACUCUAGAGUUUUUAAUCAAUAGAUCAAUCUUUAGACCGAUGAGACAAAGUCCAUUUUAAGAGGAGUUUGGCUAAUCUUAUAAACUGAUCAAAUGGACUCACACACAUUUUUUGGUUUUAACUACGAACUUGGUUAAUGUUUAAAGUGCUUAUAAGCUAAAAUCAGUCAUAAAUCAUAAAGUGGUCACCCCCAACUGAUGACUUUUCAGCUUAUAAGCACUUUUAGUUUGAUCAAGACUUCUACUAGUUUAUCCUUAAUAAUAUUUCGUAAUUCACAAAAUACUUUUUCCAAAAUAAGUUUUCUAACUUUCCCUUCAUUCUAUAUUCAUUUUUACCACUUUCGUUACAAAAAAGCUUUUUAAUUUAUAAUCUUUUGUAAAGUUUUAAACGGUAUUCUACUCUUUUUAAUAAAAGAACAACUUAUCAAUAUUUUUAACCAAACACAUCAACGACGUAUUAUCAAUUUCAACAUUUCUAUUCAAACACGUAAAUACUUAUUUAAAAACUCAAUUUCAACUCUUAAAAAUAUUUUUUAACACUUCAAGUUUAUCAACCAUUUACAAUCAGGUAAUCCAAACGAGCUCUAAGUCUACUUUUCUUGCAAGAAACAGCGAUGACUAAAUAUGUAUAGACAAUCGUAGCUUAAUUUUUUUAUUUUGUCAAAAAGGCUUUUGAAAGGUGUUAUUGAUUUAGAAUAGAAAAAAAAAAAACAAAAAAAAGGAAUAGACCAAACUUGAAAUAGAAUGCCCAAAGUAAAAGUUUUGAUGCAAAUAGAAAAAAAGUUGAGACAACGACUUUCCCUGUAGACAACGACUGCUUUGUCCCCACACUUACUUGAAUGCUUCAUGAAAUGAUAGUUAGGUCCACUAAUUUACCAAUCAGACAAUACAUACAAACCACGAGAUCACUCUCUACCACUGCGCCAUUUAUGAUACGACAAAAAUAAAUGUCGUUAUAGUGCCAUCUAUCUAUUUCACACUAAAAUGGAAGAUUCUUCCUCCUCUUUCCAUUUUCAAAAGUUUAUAGAAAGUAGUAGACAGUAAAAUUUGGAAGUGUAGCUCCUCACAUGCGACUUAUAAAUAAGUUCAAAAUAUACCUAACAUAUGACGGAUCCCACAUAAGAUUCUUUAUCAACCAGGAAAAAAUAAUAUUUUUUUUUCUCAUGUAAUUUCAAGACAUAUUGGUUGUUAAAUUCUUGAAUAUAAUAAGCAUCCACAUAUAACUAACAUGACAAUAUUUUAAGUUAUAUUGGUAUAAGAUUGACUUAAAUGGAGCGACAUGGACAAUAAAACUAUAUAACUAAUCUCAACUUGUUUAGUGUUUUACUAAUACAUAAUAAUAAUUGUUACUCCUAUAACAAACAUGUAAAUGUCUUACAUUAAUUAAGAAUCAUCUGGCUUGCAGAAGUCAAGAAAGUUACACUAAUGAGGUGUCCGGCGAGUCUAAUUUUAUUGAAAUUCUUAAUCUAUAUGUUAGCAUUCACUUGUGGAAAAAGAAUAGUACUCCUCAUUUUGUGCAAAGUUCUGCAGAGUUCACCACGCAAUGGUUUUUUUUCUCAAGUACUUAUAUUUGUAAAUCUUCAAAAUAAUACUAAAUCAAUAUUUUAGCAUUCACUUGUGGAAAAGAAUAGUACUCCACAUUUUGUGCAAACAUCUGCAGAGUUCAACACGCAAUGGUUAUUUUUCUUAAGUACUUAUAUUUGUAAAUCUUCAAAAUAAUACUAAAUCAAUAUUUUAAUGUGUGUGUAUGUAUAUACAAUCAUAUCUCACUAUGAUAGUAUCCCUAUAUUACAAUUAUUCGCUAUAAAUAAAAGCCAAAAUUUUCUCAGAACUAAUUUUUAUGUUAUAUUAUAAUAUAUGUCCUCUAUAACAACACUUCACUAUAACAGUUAAAAAAUACCGAAACAAACGAGUAGUAGAAGUAGAAAGUAGUAGUAGUAGGUAUGAUGGUUUUCAGCAUUGAUUGAUUAAAAGUCUUGGAUUUGCCUCAAUUAUAGGAAGGGAGAAUCACCAUGUAACACCCUAAAAACAAAUAAUAAGAAGGAGAGAAGAGGAAAUCUCACUAUCUUGUUCAGCAAAGUCAAUGCUAAACUCUCUGAUUCUCGUGCAGCAGGCUAAUGUCCGUCUCAUGAUCACCAUACUUCAUUAAUAUUGCCCAAAAUGUGCCUCAAAUAUUAGGAGAGCUAGUAGGCAAUUUGGACCUCAUGCAUUAUUGAGCCUGCAAUAUAAGAUGCAGUUGAAAUAGACUAAACAUGGAAAAUACAAGUUAAUGCUACUACAUCUAAAUUAUUUCAAAAGUUGAGGAAAAAAAUUUACUAUCUUCCAAACGAAAGAAAUCAGUAGAAAAAAGACUUGGAAAUCCUUAUUUGGAAAUUCCCAUUUGCAUUAUUCUGGUGCUUGGUGUAAAUUGCAACUUCUGGUAUAAAACUAGACAUUUAUUUUGUUCACAUUCAGUAUUUAGAUCAAACCAAUAAAUGCUAGAAGUAUAUAUACUUUUAUUUUUAACCAUAAUUAAGUAAUACUCCAAUUUGUAACUCUUAGGGGUCAUUUGGUACUUGGGAUAAGUAUACUAAUUUCGGGAUGAAAUGUGAAAUUAUAUUUGGUUAUGAGUAUUAGCUAGUAAUGAGAUAAAUUUAUCUUAAAUGGUGAAAUUAGUUAUCCAUAUUGAAGGUGAGAUACCUCAUCCCAUGAAAUAUGUUUUAUCUGUUCCACCUGGUAACCAAACGAACCCUUAAGAUUCAGCUGUUUAAUUUGAGAUAAACACCUGGCCAUGUUAAUCUCAAAGCAGACGAAUUCAAUAUGAGAAUUUGCUCCAUUUCCAAAUAUAGAAAUUUGAUGCAGCUACCCGCGGGUUCGAACCCGGCAACGGCGUUAUCUUUUAUGGUUAAAUUUUUUCUGGACAGCUAAAUGUGUUUGUUUUAGCUGUGGUUUAAUUUGUAAAUAUGUACCUUGGUGAUUAAUAAAAUUACUUUAGUUACCAAAAAAGAUUGAUGCCAGAAUUUAGACACAAAAACAAAUUAAAAAAGGGAAAAAGGGUUAGAACUGCUCCUAACGUAUUGACUCCAGGUUAAAAAUGCCCUCCGUUAAUCUAUUUUGAAGAAAAUGCCCCUACCGUUAAAAAUGCGGCAUAUUUGUGCUCUUAAGUCUAACAACUAACAAUACUUAUAUUUAAAACGGUAGGGGCAUUUUUUUUAAAAUAGGUUAACGGUAGGAGCAUUUUUAAAUACGUUAGGGGCACAAAUAUGCCAGAAUUUUAACGGUAGGGGCAUUUUUUUCAAAAUAGGUUAACGGAUAACAUUUUUAAACUGGCGUUAAUACGUUUGGGGCAGUUCUGACCCUUUUCCGUUAAAAAAAUUAAGUGCUAAUUGGAGUUUUGAUUUGCUCUAGAAACCACUGAAAGCUCAACCCAUAUAGACUAUAGUGAAGUAACAUAAAUGGAGCAACAGAACCCAAAAACCAACAAAUCCAAAAUAUCAGAUAGACUACGCCCGAUUCAUUUUAAGUGAUUUCUUAGCUUUUUUUGUCAUCUAUAAUGUAUUUAAUUUUUUCAAAUAUCAAGAAAAAAUUAUUUUUUUUUCGAAAGUAAAUCAGAAAAGUGGUCCCAGAGACCAUUUACCGAGCCUCCUACUUAGCUCAGAGCACAAUACAGUCAUUCACAAUCUGAUUCCACAAUUGUCAAACUCCAGUCCAUGAAUGAAAAGUGAAAUCAGGGAAAAGGAAUCACUUUUUUCACUAUAAAUAUAGUUCAUGAAUUUUAGCCAAACCCCUUCCAAAUAUAAAGAACCUUUGACCGUUUGACGCAGUCAAACAACCUUUCUAUAAGUUAAAAAAAAGUUUUUAACUUUUAUAUACUCUUGAUAAAAUAAGCAAGUACUAAUAACUACUUAUAAAUAGUGGGAUUGGUAAUCUAAAAUUAAGAUAAUGUAACUUGUUAUAACAUAUUAAAGUACACUGAAAAUGUAUAAAAAAAUUUCGAUAACAGUAUGUUAAAUCCAGAAAAGAACAAGAGAUCGAAAAAGGCAUUGAACAAGAGAUCUGGAUUUCACUGAUAAAACAGAGAAUAAUAACACGUAAAAAAUGGCAUCUAAAACAACUCCAUACACGAAAACUGGCAAAAUAUUAGAUACGAAUAUAUAGAGUAAGAAAAGGAAAAAGGACGAAUAAAUAGAACAAGAAGCUGACCUCUGUUUAUGUAAGAAGCACUUCAAUCUUCAAAAGGAUGGAAAUAGACAUCAUUCAAGAUCCCACAUUCAUACUUCAAGAAAACUUUUUUCUUGUUUUCAAGUGUGAAAUGGUAGAGAACAACAAAUCUGUGGUCUGCAGUCAAAAGAAAGAAACAGUAAUCAAGAGAAGAGUGGAUAUGACUAUUCAGGAGGAUGAAGUACAUGAGAUUGGUAUUAAAAGCAAAUGAGAAGUGACAGAGCAGAGAAGAAAGGGUAAUGCGUGUGAGUAAUGGGAUGAGUAUGUGAAUAUAGAGACAUUUAUGGUGAGAAAGAGAGAUACGUGGUGGGGUUAGCUAAGGCCUAAGAGGUCGAGACUAACGUAGUAGGUAAUCAUUGCUAUUUUUUUUCUUUCUAGAAUUAUAUACAGUUAAAGUGAAAUGGAGCUAGUAUGUUAUUAUGUUUCUUCAUUUUGUGC